UACGUAGGGGGCGAGCGUUGUCCGGAUUUAUUGGGCGUAAAGAGCGUGUAGGCGGCCUGUCAAGUCCGACGUGAAAUCUUACGGCUUAACCGUGAAAUUGCAUUGGAAACUGGCAGGCUAGAGUCUGGAUGAGGAAGAUGGAAUUCCUGGUGUAGCGGUGAAAUGCGCAGAUAUCAGGAGGAACACCGGUGGCGAAGGCGGUCUUCUAGGACAGUACUGACGCUGAGACGCGAAAGCGUGGGGAGCAAACAGG
RNAcentral lists this ribosomal RNA (253 nucleotides) under uncultured organism. RNAcentral describes it as "partial 16S ribosomal RNA". It matches the Rfam family "Bacterial small subunit ribosomal RNA", at positions 524 to 776 of the family's 1533-position model. The record is from RNAcentral.